This 77-nucleotide transfer RNA is filed under the name Diaporthe ampelina. It matches the Rfam family "tRNA". Rfam says of the family: Transfer RNA (tRNA) molecules are approximately 80 nucleotides in length. Their secondary structure includes four short double-helical elements and three loops (D, anti-codon, and T loops). The record is from Rfam by way of RNAcentral. Lineage: Eukaryota; Fungi; Ascomycota; Sordariomycetes; Diaporthales; Diaporthaceae.
GUCCAGUUAGUCUAAUGGCGCCUUGGGUGGUUGGCCGCGGCACACAGGAGAUGGAGGUUCAAAUCCUCCACUGGGCA